UUCUUUCUAGAUCUUACCUAGAUAUAUGUUUUUGGUCCCCUGAGAGACUAUUACCCAGUAACUGGUAAUAUUCUUCUCAAUUUGCAAGUAUUUCACUUCUGCCCAAUACCCGAGAAAAGUAACCCUAUUCUCCCCGGCAGAUUCGUUUUCACAUUUCCCAGGAAGUCUAUCCUUGAUAUGUUCAUCCUAACCGAUGACAGAUAUUUUCUUCCCCCGCAGUUGAUUCUAUCCUUGAUAUGUUCAUCCUAACCGAUGAUGGAUAUUCUCUUUUUGGUAUUCUAACUAGUGAAAGGUAGUUGUAAUCCCUAUUUUCUUGCCCCAGAGAGUUAAUCUGUGAUAUGUUCAUCCUAACCGAUGAUAGAUUUCCUCUUCUUUGCAGUCUUCUGCCCAGUAACCGGUAGUUG
RNAcentral lists this long non-coding RNA (404 nucleotides) under Lathyrus oleraceus (garden pea). Its description in RNAcentral is "Pisum sativum (pea) long non-coding RNA (PSAT_LNC006849)". The record is from RNAcentral. Lineage: Eukaryota; Viridiplantae; Streptophyta; Magnoliopsida; Fabales; Fabaceae.